CAGGCAAACAAAAUAGUUACUUUCAAGAGUCCAGAGGAAGUUGAAAUUGCAUUACAUUAGAAUUAACCUAAAAACUUAUAUCAUUUUAUCUAAUUUUAGCUUCCAAAUUUGCAAGAUCUUUAAAAGCAAUAUACAUGUAUUGAUGUAUAGACCUAGAACUUUGAAUAUACCAGUGGGGAAUGAAUCAAUCAUGGCAUUGUUUUUUAAAGGCCUACAGACAAUAAGAAAACCAUCAUGAGAUGUUCUUGUUCAAUAACAAACUUGUAUAAAUCUAAGAAAUUAACAGAGCGUGUAAGAGGUGAAACCACACAAAAAUAAUUAAAAGGAAGUUCAUUAGGUUCGAUACUUACAGUUGCUACAUCAAACGCCUCCCUCAGUGCACCAGCUGGAAAAAAAGUCGGAUUCUGUCUGCCAUCACGCAUACAACAAAGGUCAAAAUCUAAGCAAAAUUUUUUAUUUCAAAAAGCCAAGCCUCAUAAAAUACCAGUAGAUCAAAAGACUAACCAAGGGAUGGACAAAUCUUUACAUCAGUUACAUUUUAGACCUGAAAACUCAAAAUUUUAGACCUGAGAAGGUGGUGUGUCCAGAUCAGUAAAACUGCAACCACAAAAGGGGAUGAACCAUUUUAGACCUGAAAACUCAAAAUUUUAAAACAAAUGAUAGAUAAAAUGCUCAUGGAGCACUGAAUCAAAAAAUGUUUGAAUGAGUAUUUGUUCUUUGGGUUUUUUUUCCACUUAGAAAUCGGGUGAGGACAGUAUGUGUCAUUUAGCACCAAGAUUCCAGCCACUACUGCCUCCUCCUACAUCUAGCAGUUGAAAACUUCAAAUCAAGUAAUGGGUAGAUCAUAAUGAAUCUUUUUCACUUCAAACAAUAUGGUCAAUCUUGUUCCAUUCAAAAAAGAUGAUGCAUCUUAC
RNAcentral lists this long non-coding RNA (914 nucleotides) under Triticum aestivum (bread wheat). RNAcentral's name for it is "long non-coding RNA (TAES_LNC025852)". The record is from RNAcentral. Lineage: Eukaryota; Viridiplantae; Streptophyta; Magnoliopsida; Poales; Poaceae.